ACCCCCUUGAAGACGACGAGGUAGAUAGGGCAGAGGUGGAAGUGUGGCAACACAUGGAGCUGACUGUUACUAAUCGGGUGAGGGCUUGACCAA
RNAcentral lists this ribosomal RNA (93 nucleotides) under Blautia massiliensis (ex Durand et al. 2017). Its description in RNAcentral is "partial 23S ribosomal RNA". It matches the Rfam family "Bacterial large subunit ribosomal RNA", at positions 2832 to 2925 of the family's 2925-position model. The record is from RNAcentral. Lineage: Bacteria; Bacillati; Bacillota; Clostridia; Lachnospirales; Lachnospiraceae.